Molecule: ribosomal RNA, 270 nt
Filed under: Acetobacter sp.
Lineage: Bacteria; Pseudomonadati; Pseudomonadota; Alphaproteobacteria; Acetobacterales; Acetobacteraceae
Description: partial 23S ribosomal RNA
Rfam family: Bacterial large subunit ribosomal RNA
Source: RNAcentral
GUAUGAGCAAGAGAAGGGCAUCUGGUGGAUGCCUUGGCACCAAGAGGCGAUGAAGGACGUGGCACGCUGCGAGAAGCCACGGGGAGCCGCGAGCAGGCGUUGAUCCGUGGAUGUCCGAAUGGGGCAACCCCCUCCGUGAGGAGGAUCCUGAGCUGAAUCCAUAGGUUCAGGAGGCGAACCCGGGGAACUGAAACAUCUCAGUACCUGGAGGAAAAGACAUCAACCGAGAUUCCGCUAGUAGUGGCGAGCGAACGCGGAGCAGGCCAGUGG